Molecule: long non-coding RNA, 421 nt
Organism: Oncorhynchus tshawytscha (Chinook salmon)
Lineage: Eukaryota; Metazoa; Chordata; Actinopteri; Salmoniformes; Salmonidae
Source: Ensembl
AGAGAGAAGAGAGGGAGGGAGUGAAACAGAGAAAGAGAAGAGAGAGAAGAGAGAGAGAGGGAGUGAAACAGAGAAAGAGAAGAGAGAGAGAGGGAGUGAAACAGAGAAAGAGAAGAGAGAGAAGAGAGAGAAGAGAGAGAAGAGGGAGGGAGUGAAACAGAGAAAGAGAAGAGAGAGAAGAGAGAGAAGAGGGAGGGAGUGAAACAGAGAGAGAAGAGAGAGAAGAGAGAGAGAGGGAAGGGAGUGAAACAGAGAAAGAGAAGAGAGAGAAGAGAGAGAAGAGAGAGAGAGGGAGUGAAACAGAGAAAGAGAAGAGAGAGAGAGGGAGUGAAACAGAGAAAGAGAAGAGAGAGAGAGGGGGUGAAACAGAGAAAGAAGAGAGAGAAGAGAGAGAAGAGAGAGAAGAGAGAGAAGAGAGAGA